AUUUCUCCACUGCAUCAAGUUCCACGUCAACUGUUGCAUCAUAGUCCUUCACCUGU
RNAcentral lists this small RNA (56 nucleotides) under Arabidopsis thaliana (thale cress). RNAcentral's name for it is "ATSL237470". Lineage: Eukaryota; Viridiplantae; Streptophyta; Magnoliopsida; Brassicales; Brassicaceae. The record is from RNAcentral.